This is a long non-coding RNA of Phycodurus eques (leafy seadragon), 4604 nucleotides long. RefSeq lists it as uncharacterized. The transcript has 4 exons. The record is from RefSeq and is a predicted model, not a curated record. NCBI's taxonomy places the organism in Eukaryota, Metazoa, Chordata, Actinopteri, Syngnathiformes, Syngnathidae.
UGAAAAACUACCACCACCAUACUUGGCCCAGUCGGCAGAACUCCAAGCGAUCUACCAGGCAUGUCAACUAGCGGAAGGUAAGACUGUAAACAUGUACACAGACUCGGCCUAUGUGCAGGGCACUGCUUACAGACAUGGCUGCAUGGCAAAUAACUGAUUUCCUGACCACCACAUUUGUGAAACACCACAAUUUACUUCUGGAAUUGGCAGAAUCAGGAAAAUUACUGUAAGCAGUCUCACUCAUCAAAGGAGCAGGCCACUCCAAAGCUGGAACAUUUGAAGCACAUGAUAACGCCAGUGCUGAUUUAGCAGCCAAGCAGGCUGCUGACUAUCAAACUACACCUAGGUUACAACUGGUGUGUAAAAUACUGGACAAUUCACAAACACAAAGAUGAUCAGCACAAAGGAACUCCCAAGAGGCAGCUGCCUGAAUGGCAAAAAAAAAAAAAAAAAAAAAAAAACAGUUGAAAGCGAAAGGAGCAACCAAAUCAGGUAUAGAUGGAAUUUGGAGAUCGUGGGAUGGGACAAAAUUGGCCCCUUGUGGUUUACUACAAAUUUUACAUUUAGAAAAAAUCUGACUCUACCAAUCUGUUCAGUGAAGGCGAAAUUAUUGAAAAGAACUGUGUCCAAACCAUUGAUCUGUCAACCCGCACUUCUGGCUCUCAAUUGACCAUCUCUACAGCUGACGUACGGUGCUUCUGUGAAGGUCAUGUUUUGUAUGGGUUCCUUGCCCCAAAUUGGGCCAGGAAGUGUGCCCUUGUCUCUCUUCUCUUGACCAUACAGAUAAACAAUGUGGCAAACAGUUGUCCAUCCCGCUGCCCACCUUAAAGAAAAGGAAAAGGGCCAAGGACCCAAUGGCUGGGAGUCCGAUUUACAUCGAUGCCAUAGGAGUCCCGCGAGGCGUCCCAGAUGAGUAUAAAUUAGUUGACUAAAUUUCAGCAGGUUUCGAGUUUAUUUUCAUAUGGAUAACACCCAAGUAUACAUAGAUCACAUGAACUACAUACAUUAUAAUCAGAAUCAUCUUUAUUUUGCCAAGUAUGUCAAAAAGCACACAAGGAAAUUGUCUCCGGUAGUUGGAGCCGCUUUAGUACGACAACAGACAGUCAAUUGACAGAGAAUACUUUUGAGACAUAAAGACAUUGACAAAAAAGGAUGCCGAGACUUCAAGGAAUGUAUGCAGUUUAAAGUGACUAGUAGCGCGAUAAUCUGAGACAAUGUCGAUUGUGCAAAUGUUGCAGAUACUCCUGCGUCAGUGUGCAAGUGGUGCAGAUGCUACUCUGGCAUGAGUGGCCAGUAUUGGUCAACAACAGAUAUGCAAAUACUGCAGCGUGGCGAGACUACUACGGUGAGUGCACGAGUAAUGUAAAAUUGGCCUGACAGAGAUGUGACAACAAACUCAAGAAAAAAAAAAAAAAAAAAAAAAUUGGCAGCAUGUUGCAAUGGAAUUGAAAGUUAGCUUUUUAAGAAGUUGAUGGCAAGAGGGAAGAAGCUGUUGGAAUGUCUGCUCGUUUUAGUUUGCAUUGUUCGGUAGUUCCUACCUGAGGGAAGGAGCUGGAAGAGCUGGUGACCGGGAUGUGGAGGGUCCGAGAGAAUUUUGCACACUCAUGUCUUAGUUCUGGCAGCGUGCAAGUCCCCAAGGCUGGGUAAGGGUGUACCGACAAUCUUUUCAGCAAGUUGAAUUUUACACGCGAUGUCUUCGAGUUAAAUGGACUGCACUUAAAUGUCUAACUUGUGCGGUGCAUACCCAACUGAUUGCCACCUCAUUAGUUUUCCAUCAGACCAGGCUGGCACUCGACUCCUUAUUGGCAGAAAGAGGAAGUGAUUGGAAGCAUGUCUGGGGAAAGCUGCUGCACAUUAAUUCCCAAUAAUACAGUCCCAGAUGGGAGCUUCACCAAAACUCCUAACGGUCUGGGAGCCUUAGCCAAUGAACUUAAAGAACAAAUGGGGACUAACCCUUUCAAUUAUCUAAUGGAAAGAUGGUUUAGCAAAUGGAAAGGGGAAAUUGGUAGUUUGAUCAUCUCAAUUGGCACUAUUCUGGGGUUUUUUGUGUUUUGUGUUUGAACGCCUACCUGUUCACGUCUCUGAAUCUUCGGACUAUGAUGGUUACAGUGAAUUUGUUUAGGUUGGACUGCAUUACCGCUUCCUUCGUUUUCAAAACGUGGCCAGGAAUAUGGUCUACGAAAGUUUCCUGUACUUCAUAUGAAAUAUUAAAUUGUUCUUAUACCUCCUCACUCCACUUCUGCCUCUGGUUGUCUCUAUCAGAAGGCCAACCUUAUUGCCAUAUUAAAAUAUUUUUGGCUGUUUCUUAUGAAACAUUCGAAUUUCUUGGAGAUGGUAAAUUUUGUGUUUUCAUGAGUUGUUAGCUAAAAUAAUUCAAGUAGUAACAAAUCAUAAAAUAUUUUACUCUGUGUGGUGAAUCAGGUGAAAUAGUUUACUGGUAUGAGUUUUCAACUACAGAAAUACAUGACGUUUUCUAAUUGUAAUUAUUGAAAUGCACCUGUAUAUGUUUUGUGACACUAGUUCUGGAACCUUUCUCGGACACCUCAUGAUACAACUUGAAAGCAGUAUAUUUUCUGGGUUGUUCAUAGAGUCAGCUCUGUCUAUUUAACCUCAUGCUUUGCACGGACAGCAAGUCGAGCUCACGUCACAUAUGACGUAGCUGCGUAAUUAGGAAUCCCACGCGCGUUCCUGGCAAAACAUGCCCCGCUGCAUCGUGAUUGGUUCCGGCAUCGCGGGAAGGACAAACUACGCACAUGUAACUCGAUGACUAUCUCGAAUAUAAAUCCCAGUUGUACGAAAUAAAAACAAAUACAUGUUUUAUGCCAGAGGGUUUAGGGGUAGUCCCCCCACGUAGUAGGGCGUGUAUACCGGUAUAAAGCAGCCAAUCAUAGUGCAGCGGCGCGUGUCCCGAAGCCAGUAGUAUUGGAACAGGGCGUGCCCUGCCAGAAACGUCAGAUUCCAAAUUCUACGUGGCCGCCAUUUUGUAGUUGAGCAUAACGAGGAGCUCGAGCCAACGACUGUUUAGCGGCACUGAGUUGGUUCCGUAAUUUUCGGCGAAAUCGUAUAGAAAAACAUCUGCACUUAAGAAUACCGAAGAAAUGCGUCAUCGAUGUUUCGCCAGCAAGACAAAGAAGAGGAAGUUUGACAUCACCCCAAAAGAAGAAGUGGUUGUCUUUCAUUGGCCGCCCCGAAAUCAAGUUGUUGGUCACCACACAUCAAGUCUUCUUGCUUGCUUGAUGGUCUAUGUUGUCCACAUGCUAUUUGAACACGUGGACAUCUCUAAUGGCGGAUGACUACCCCUGCAUUUACCUAUGCAACAGUAACUGUCCCCGCGCUUUCUGCACGCCCGCCUCAUGGUGUCUUGGAUUGAAUAGGGGACUACAUACGAAAUGUGAUACCGCAGAAUGUUUAUAUCAAUCUUUUUUGAUCGAAAUGUCACCAUCACGUCUUCUUUCCCCCCCCUGUGUUAAAGACUGGAAAUGGGAGGAUUUGUGUCCCAUCAGCUGUGGACAUUUUACACCAUGAUGGAGAAAGUCGAGUUGUGCACAUGCCAUUUGAAUACCUGAUGGCGGAUGACUGCAUAUACAUUUAGCUUGUUAAAGAAGAGGCUAAACAGGAUGAAUCGUACCCCAUCAGAUGUGGAAGUCUUCCAGUCACGUUGAAGACAGUCGACGUCUCACACAACAUUCGAUGAGCCGCCAUGUUGGUCUGAGGGAAAACAAAUGUUUUAGAAGGUUGCAAUUUGUGGGUACCACUAUUAUACUUUUACUAACUGAUCAGGUCUGGUCCAUAAUGUAUAUCAGUGAUACUUAAAGAUGUGCAUUUUGGAAACAAUAGGAUUAUUAGUGGUCCUUUGGCCUGUUGACAAGUUUAACUUUUGAAGCUUACCAUAAAAUGGAUGAGUCAAAUUGGAAAAGAAAAGAGAGUCCUGUCGUGUGAACGCUUUCCCCUACAUCAAUAUGGCGGCUACUUGUUUACAUUGGACACCCCUCAAUGAGGCUUGAUUGACCAAUUCCACUUCAGUUCCCAUCAGGUCAGUGCUGGUUGUGUUCCCGGUUGGGGCAUGCUUCAAAAUGCAUCCACUGAUAGGCCUGAAGCAAGCUGCCUUGGCUUGAAGGUUUGCAAAUAGAUGCUAAACUUAACUUUCCUCUUGCUUUCUGGCUGGUACUUUAACUUGGCAGCCCAGGUUGAAUUGGGGAAUACACCUUAAGCUUUCUCUGGUCUCUCUUUGAACAUUUGUGACAUUUGUAGAUGUCAUUUGUGUGUUUUGCUCAUUUUGUCUUUAUUUGUGUAGACUGUGCUUGCAGUCAGCACAUCUAAAGUCAGUUCAAACAUUUCAGUUGGGACAGAAUCCGUGUUGGGAAAGUUAAUUUUCUUCACAAAGUAGUUCAAAGUUCAGUUCACCGUGUGUGUGUGCGAGAGAGAGAGUCCCCUCCAAAAGUAUUUCAUUGGAAAGGUCAAUUCCUUUUUUGUUGUAUACUGAAAGCAUUUAGAUAUCAGAUCAAAAGAUGAAUAAAUGUGUUUAUUAUUUUUUUUAAUUUGACCUUAUUGCACUCUUCAGUCUUCCAGAUUGCUUAUGUUGAAAUAAAACCUUUCAUGCCUUU